CAUGCAAGUCGAACGCUUUUUCUUUCACCGGAGCUUGCUCCACCGAAAGAAAAAGAGUGGCGAACGGGUGAGUAACACGUGGGUAACCUGCCCAUCAGAAGGGGAUAACACUUGGAAACAGGUGCUAAUACCGUAUAACACUAUUUUCCGCAUGGAAGAAAGUUGAAAGGCGCUUUUGCGUCACUGAUGGAUGGACCCGCGGUGCAUUAGCUAGUUGGUGAGGUAACGGCUCACCAAGGCAACGAUGCAUAGCCGACCUGAGAGGGUGAUCGGCCACACUGGGACUGAGACACGGCCCAGACUCCUACGGGAGGCAGCAGUAGGGAAUCUUCGGCAAUGGACGAAAGUCUGACCGAGCAACGCCGCGUGAGUGAAGAAGGUUUUCGGAUCGUAAAACUCUGUUGUUAGAGAAGAACAAGGAUGAGAGUAAAAUGUUCAUCCCUUGACGGUAUCUAACCAGAAAGCCACGGCUAACUACGUGCCAGCAGCCGCGGUAAUACGUAGGUGGCAAGCGUUGUCCGGAUUUAUUGGGCGUAAAGCGAGCGCAGGCGGUUUCUUAAGUCUGAUGUGAAAGCCCCCGGCUCAACCGGGGAGGGUCAUUGGAAACUGGGAGACUUGAGUGCAGAAGAGGAGAGUGGAAUUCCAUGUGUAGCGGUGAAAUGCGUAGAUAUAUGGAGGAACACCAGUGGCGAAGGCGGCUCUCUGGUCUGUAACUGACGCUGAGGCUCGUAGUUUGACCUC
Molecule: ribosomal RNA, 741 nt
Filed under: Enterococcus casseliflavus
Lineage: Bacteria; Bacillati; Bacillota; Bacilli; Lactobacillales; Enterococcaceae
Description: bacterial SSU rRNA
Rfam family: Bacterial small subunit ribosomal RNA
Source: RNAcentral